UACGGGAGGCAGCAGUGGGGAAUAUUGCACAAUGGGCGCAAGCCUGAUGCAGCCAUGCCGCGUGUAUGAAAAAGGCCUUCGGGUUGUAAAGUACUUUCAGUCGUGAGGAAGGUGUUAAGGUUAAUAACCUUAGCAAUUGACGUUAGCGACAGAAGAAGCACCGGCUAACUCCGUGCCAGCAGCCGCGGUAAUACGGAGGGUGCGAGCGUUAAUCGGAAUUACUGGGCGUAAAGGGCACGCAGGCGGUUAAUUAAGUUGGAUGUGAAAUCCCCGGGCUUAACCUGGGAAUGGCAUUCAAGACUGGUUAGCUAGAGUCUUGUAGAGGGGGUAGAAUUCCAUGUGUAGCGGUGAAAUGCGUAGAGAUGUGGAGGAAUACCGAUGGCGAAGGCGGCCCCUGGACAAAGACUGACGCUCAUGUGCGAAAGCGUGGGGAGCAAACAGGAUUAGAUACC
This 452-nucleotide ribosomal RNA is filed under the name uncultured bacterium. Its description in RNAcentral is "bacterial SSU rRNA". It matches the Rfam family "Bacterial small subunit ribosomal RNA", at positions 340 to 786 of the family's 1533-position model. The record is from RNAcentral.